RNAcentral lists this long non-coding RNA (1291 nucleotides) under Homo sapiens (human). RNAcentral describes it as "HSALNT0383560". Lineage: Eukaryota; Metazoa; Chordata; Mammalia; Primates; Hominidae. The record is from RNAcentral.
GAAAAAUAAAAAGAUGAACUCUUUGAGAUUAGAGGUAAUAAUAUCAAGAAAUAUCUGUUCUCAUUUGAGUGCAUGUGUCUCUGCAAAAUUCAUAUGUUGGAACUUAAAGCCCAGGGUGAUGGUAUUAAGAGGUGGUAGAAAGGCAUUUGGGAAUGGAUUACAUCAUAAAGGCUCUACCCUGAUUAAUGGGAUUAUGGAACAGGCUUCAAAGAGCUACCUGGAACUUCCAUCACUUCUACCAUGUGAAGAUAAACAUGAAUCUCUUUUUUCCCUUAUAUUUCUUCUGCCAUGUGAGAACACAGUAUUUGUCUUUUCCACCUUUCCAUGAUGUGAGGACACCCCAAGAAUGUCCCCUAAAGACAGGAAACAAGACAUGGAAUCUUCUGGCACCAUGAUCUUGGACUUCAUAGCCUCCAAAAUGCUUUGCUGUUCUAAGAGAAGUCAAGGUGAAGGGUUUAGUGCCUCUGAAGCUGGGGCAAGAAAACAAUCGGCUUCUCCAACGGUCAGUAAAGAAUACAAGGGCACAGUUAAAACAGAGCCACUGAAGUGAACAACCUUCAUGUGACCAACAGGAGAAACACCCCCUCCAGGAACCUAAGACCAGUUUGCUACAAGAAUACAAUUGGUAUUCCCCACAGUCACCCUCACAAGGGACACUUACAAAGCACACUCCAAUCUCAGCCAUUACUGACUGACAAGAGCCUGCCUGUCUGAAGCCUGCAGGCCCGAGAAGCUUCUUUCUCCCUUCUCUUGGCUAUUAGUCACAGCUGGUAAGGCUCACAGGAACCGAGACUGUUUGAAAACAGUUGGAUCACGAAAACGUUUGAGUCUUUCUGCUGCAAGCAACAAACUUGGCCCAGGCUGCCACAAGGAGAUGGAGUGGGAGUGGGGGUGGCGAUGGGAUGCACCAGGAACGAAGGAAGAAAGGGAAAUUGCUAACCACCUCACUUCAAAAUCUUCUCUGAGGGAGCCCGUGGCUAUUAUCCUGGUUCAAAUGUCACAGAUAGAAGAUAAUAAAAACAAGAAGAAAUAAAAUUCAAGAUCCAUUAGAACACUUCUGGAUUGUCCAUUACAGCAUGUAUUACCCAACAGAAAGAUGAUCACUAAUAGAUGACAAGCUAUUUAAUUUUAUGUUUACUUUUGGAAGGAUGCAGGUACUGUGCAGGGUUUCUACAACACAUCAGCAUUGCUUACACCAGUACUUCAAAUAUGAGUUAUUUAAUCACCCAAGUUAAAUGAAAAUAACCAAAUGAUUAAAUAAAAUCAAGUCAUACUUCAUGUGAAGACUUUA